RNAcentral lists this ribosomal RNA (497 nucleotides) under uncultured bacterium. RNAcentral describes it as "partial 16S ribosomal RNA". It matches the Rfam family "Bacterial small subunit ribosomal RNA", at positions 28 to 507 of the family's 1533-position model. The record is from RNAcentral.
GAUGAACGCUGGCGGCGUGCCUAAUACAUGCAAGUCGAGCGAACAGACGAGGAGCUUGCUCCUCUGACGUUAGCGGCGGACGGGUGAGUAACACGUGGAUAACCUACCUAUAAGACUGGGAUAACUUCGGGAAACCGGAGCUAAUACCGGAUAAUAUAUUGAACCGCAUGGUUCAAUAGUGAAAGACGGUUUUGCUGUCACUUAUAGAUGGAUCCGCGCCGCAUUAGCUAGUUGGUAAGGUAACGGCUUACCAAGGCAACGAUGCGUAGCCGACCUGAGAGGGUGAUCGGCCACACUGGAACUGAGACACGGUCCAGACUCCUACGGGAGGCAGCAGUAGGGAAUCUUCCGCAAUGGGCGAAAGCCUGACGGAGCAACGCCGCGUGAGUGAUGAAGGUCUUCGGAUCGUAAAACUCUGUUAUUAGGGAAGAACAAAUGUGUAAGUAGCUACGCACGUCUUGACGGUACCUAAUCAGAAAGCCACGGCUAACUACGUG